RNAcentral lists this ribosomal RNA (497 nucleotides) under uncultured bacterium. RNAcentral's name for it is "partial 16S ribosomal RNA". It matches the Rfam family "Bacterial small subunit ribosomal RNA", at positions 28 to 507 of the family's 1533-position model. The record is from RNAcentral.
GAUGAACGCUGGCGGCGUGCCUAAUACAUGCAAGUCGAGCGAACGGACGAGAAGCUUGCUUCUCUGAUGUUAGCGGCGGACGGGUGAGUAACACGUGGAUAACCUACCUAUAAGACUGGGAUAACUUCGGGAAACCGGAGCUAAUACCGGAUAAUAUUUUGAACCGCAUGGUUCAAAAGUGAAAGACGGUCUUGCUGUCACUUAUAGAUGGGUCCGCGCUGCAUUAGCUAGUUGGUAAGGUAACGGCUUACCAAGGCAACGAUGCAUAGCCGACCGCAGAGGGUGACAGGCAACAGUGGAAAGGAGGCAGGGUCAGGAGUCAUACGGGAGGAGGAAGUAGGGAGUGUUGCGGAAUGGCCGCAAGUCUUACGGAGCAACAAGGAGUGAAGGAUGAAGGUCUUAGGAUCGUAAAACUCUGUUAUUAGGGAAGAACAUAUGUGUAAGUAACUGUGCACAUCUGGACGGUACCUAAUCAGAAAGCCACGGCUAACUACGUG